CCCCUAUGCUUGAGUUGGUUCACUGCAUCGAACUGUUGCUCGUGGAAUCGUUUUGGACAUCAGCUUGCUGAUUGUGGCAUUCACCAUUUGUUCCUGCUUAUCCCCUCUACAGUUUCUGGUUUAAGUGUAUGAAGUGUGGUAGGCUUGAGAUAGUGUUUGAUCGUACAAUGUACUGUACACCGAGAUGAUCGAUAGUAUGCAUUUUACCCACCUAAGCGCGUGAAUGAGAUUUGUUCUGCAAUACUUGUUCUGCAAUACUUGUACUAUGACGGUACUGAGUAUGCCUAUUUUGAUAUUCAUAGUAGACAAUCAAUAUGUUAUUGUUUUCGGAUAGUCGUAAUUGAGACAUGUAUAGCUUGUUUUGUUUGGUGGCUCCUGGAGUCCUGGUGCUAUCAACCGCACUCUGUGAAUGCAUUGUUUGGCUGGGUGAUGAUUUUGUGCUCUCUGUACAGCAUGCUGCCGAUAUAAAUGCCGCGAACCAGACUGGACAGACAUCACUUCUCUGGAGUUCUGUACCUGGUUAUGUGCAAGUUGUCGAACUACUUUUGAAAGAAGAAGCUAAGGUGGAUGUUGCUGAUUCAUAUGGCUCGCAGCCUCCCUCUAAGAUGGUGAAUCAGAUAAUUGCAACAACUUCUUUAUUUGUCAGUGAGCAUGGUGGAUAAUCAGAGAUUGUGUUAAGGGUGAAGCAAGGAAGUAGCCCAACAUUUGGAUUCUUGAUGCCUGACCAUCGUCUCCGCAGCUACUUCUGGUACAUUGUUGAUCAUCCUCAGCUGUUGAAAGAUGGCUCAGACGCUGACACCAAUAGGGUCAACAAAACUGUUAUGAGCGAGAGUGAGCAUGCCGCUUCAUCAGGUGGAGCUUUAUCAUUGCUUGGAUCCAUCUACGAGUCUGCAGAUGAGGAUGAAGAUGUGCUUCCAGCUUUAUUGAAAAGCACUGAUCAUGGAAAGGAUGCUGUUUUACAUGAGAAAGGCCACAAAGGCUGUGCAUCCCGAAAAAGAGUAAACAGUAGCAAAAGAAGCUUUGACUGCUGCUCACCACAAAGGCCACCAUCAUUUAUAAAGGGCACAGUGGAGAAAAUUGUCGAGAUUAUUCUCAGGAACCGAAAGGAGUUUGAAGAAAAGCUCAUUGCGCAAGAAAGGAUGACAGGGAGGUUUCCAUUUCUUCUGCCCAAUAAUCCAUAUCAUUCUUACUAUCUCAAGAUUCUCCAAGAAACCCAAGAGGGCAUGGAAACGGUGGGUGUGGGCAUGAGCUUGGUGCCGCUCAGAGUGCAAGAGUUACAGGAGGACUUGCUUUGGGCUCGCGGCCGCAUGCACAGGCUGCGGGAGGUGCGGCAUGCCCCAUACAGAGUGUUGCGAAGGAGGAGCACGACCUCGAGCCCGCCGCGCGAGAUGACGAUUACAUCAGCCCGAGGAUCUACAUGUGUGAGGAGCCCUGUGCCACGACACCACACCACAUCUGCGACAUGGAAGACCAUAAUAUUAGGCUGACCUCACCGCUUUUAGGGACGAAAGCCGCUGGCCGAGAUGGUUCUUCAGUGUUAAUAUUGGUCGGUUGAUUUGGCCACGGUCUGUCAAACUGGCGGUUACUAAUUAACCUAAGCAAAAGGGAACAUCUAGGGUAGACUCCAUAUGUAGGUUGUAUUUUUCUGUAGGUAAAGAAAAUAGAGAUAUGUAUAUGUUCUCCCAAAGCUUAGUGGCAAUGUUUGUUUUUCAUUUGUGAACUAGAUUAGUCUCACAGUUCUUUGGUUCAUGCAAUUGAGAUUCUGCUUCAAAGGGUUCUAUCUUUGUACUUUGUUUCUACAUAGAAUUCGCACACAUCUUAAAAGAAUAAUAUCACAUCUUUUAGUUUAAUCAUAUGUAUGCUGCAUGCUUUCAAUUUGUAUAAAUGUUCAGUAUAGUAUUUUAUAAACCCGUUUACCAAUGCAGAAAACGGUGGAAGGGCGCCAAGGCGUGCCCCUAAAUUUUUUGGUACCUGCUGUUGAAGGUGAACGUGUGCAAGUACAACGAAUUCAUUACUGCCGCAGUUCGUCCUAAGACAAACAACUCUCUUCAUCUGAUGUCCAGACGGUACAUCAACGCAGGCAUCCCUCAAAUAAUUGUCCUCCCUGCUAGAGUCGACCAUUGAACCCAACGCAAAUUCUUCGUUGGCUACCAAUAUUGCUCUGCGUCACCAAGUAGGCGACUAUCUGAGGAAAUCUCUUUCUGAAUUGAUCAACUUCACUCUCUUGCAUGUGAUUGUUUGGAGAAAAUGAUGGGCUCCUAUUCCUGAACUUACAAUUGUUAUGCACUCAUGUAGUGUAAGGUUGUUUAUAGCCUCUUUCAGUUUGUCCAUUUUGUUGCUUUUGACUGGUAUCACCAUUAUCUGCUAGGUUAAUUAGAUUGAUAUCUUUGAAA
Lolium perenne is the source of this 2393-nucleotide non-coding RNA. NCBI's taxonomy places the organism in Eukaryota, Viridiplantae, Streptophyta, Magnoliopsida, Poales, Poaceae. The record is from RefSeq and is a predicted model, not a curated record.